ACGGGGAAUUGGGGUUCGAUUCCGGAGAGGGAGCCUGAGAAAUGGCUACCACAUCUAAGGAAGGCAGCAGGCGCGUAAAUUACCCAAUCCUAAUUCAGGGAGGUAGUGACAAGAAAUAACAACUCGGACCUCACACGAGGUUACGGGAUUGCAAUGAGAACAAUUUAAACCACUUAUCGAGCAACAAUUGGAGGGCAAGUCUGGUGCCAGCAGCCGCGGUAAUUCCAGCUCCAAUAGCGUAUAUUAAAGUUGUUGCAGUUAAAAAGCUCGUAGUUGAAUUUCUGGCCAGCGCUGUUCUCGGCUCUCUGAGUCGGUUCAGUGUUUGGUCAUCCGUAUGGGAAGCUAGCUCGGCCUUCACUGGUCGGCUAGUGGAUCAUACACUUUACUUUGAAAAAAUUAGUGUGUUUCAGGCAGGCAAUUGCUUGGAUACUUCAGCAUGGAAUAAUGGAAUAGGACUUUGACCUAUUUGUUGGUUUCUUCGACGUCAAGGUAAUGAUUAAUAGGGACAGUUGGGGGCAUUCAUAUUUAAUUGUCAGAGGUGAAAUUCUUGGAUUUAUUAAAGAUGAACCUAUGCGAAAGCAUUUGCCAAGGAUGUUUU
This 598-nucleotide ribosomal RNA is filed under the name uncultured ciliate. RNAcentral's name for it is "SSU rRNA". It matches the Rfam family "Eukaryotic small subunit ribosomal RNA", at positions 362 to 970 of the family's 1831-position model. Lineage: Eukaryota; Ciliophora. The record is from RNAcentral.